Molecule: ribosomal RNA, 250 nt
Filed under: uncultured bacterium
Lineage: Bacteria
Description: partial 16S ribosomal RNA
Rfam family: Bacterial small subunit ribosomal RNA
Source: RNAcentral
UACGAAUGGGGCAAGCGUUGUUCGGAAUCACUGGGCUUAAAGCGUACGCAGGCGGCCAUGCAAGUCAGAAGUGAAAUCCCUGGGCUUAACCCAGGAAUUGCUUUUGAAACUGCACGGCUAGAAUCCGGGAGAGGUUGGCGGAAUUCCUAGUGUAGCAGUGAAAUGCGCAGAUAUUAGGAGGAACACCAGUGGCGAAGGCGGCCAACUGGACCGGCAUUGACGCUCAUGUACGAAAGCGUGGGUAGCAAAC